This 332-nucleotide ribosomal RNA is filed under the name uncultured bacterium. Its description in RNAcentral is "bacterial SSU rRNA". It matches the Rfam family "Bacterial small subunit ribosomal RNA", at positions 568 to 898 of the family's 1533-position model. The record is from RNAcentral.
CGUGUAGGCGGCCCGGCAAGUGCUUUGUGAAAGCCCCCGGCUCAACCGGGGAACUGCUUGGCAUACUGCCGGGCUUGAGGUAGGUAGAGGCGACUGGAACCUUAGGUGGAGCGGUGAAAUGCGUAGAUAUCUAAGGGAACGCCGGUGGCGAAAGCGGGUCGCUGGGCCUGCCCUGACGCUGAGACGCGAAAGCGUAGGGAGCAAACGGGAUUAGAUACCCCGGUAGUCUACGCCGUAAACGAUGCGCACUAGGUACAGGAGUCUCUGACGGCGCCUGUGCCGAAACAAAAGCGUUAAGUGCGCCGCCUGGGGAGUACGGCCGCAAGGCUAAA